GGCAAUGAUCCUCUGGCCUAUUAGGACAUGAGGCAUAGACAAAUGUGCAAUUAGGAGGAAAAAACCCUGUGAGGAGGAAAUGCUAGAGAAUAAAAUCCCCCUAUAGUUCCUCUAAGACUCUUGCCAGGAAAGCCAUCUGUCAAGAGAUUAGUAAGAAGGUAAUUUCUGCAGGAAUUUUCCCUUAGGACCAUAUGGAGUGCCAAGAAAAGGUGUUGUGGCAUCAGGAGUGAAGACAAAAGCUCAGGGUCCUCAGCAGUGUUUAUCACAGACAGAAAGAAAGCUAUCAACCCAUUGAGUCUUAGGGAAGAAGAGAGAGAACUACAUUGCUUUUGACAGGAGACCUGAAGAAGUAUUGGGAGUAGUUGAUGAAGCCAAGUCUCCUGAAAGGUUUACACAGGCUGGUUACAAUAUUCUGCAGAUGCAAGGUGGAUCCUUUACCUCUGAAUGGAUAAUCUUUCCUCUGAGAGAUGAGGAAACUGCAGACCAGAGAAGUGAAGACAUUUGCUCAAGGUCGCAUGGGCAGCAAGAGACAGAGAUGACUCAGUGGUGAGGGAAAAUUUGAUGAUGUCAUUCUUAAAGCUGCCUAUGAAGCUAAUGUAUCGUGACUCUUCAGAAGGUGCAAGAUAUUUGAAUUUUCUUCCUUUUUUGUGUGUUUCUGGUCAUGCUUCAACAUGACAUUUUGGCCUUCUGGGUCUUUGACUUUUUUUUUCUCUUGAAGGAGAUGGGCUCCUUCUAUGGGGAAGGGUUAUU
Long non-coding RNA from Phascolarctos cinereus (koala), 750 nucleotides. RefSeq lists it as uncharacterized. The record is from RefSeq and is a predicted model, not a curated record. Lineage: Eukaryota; Metazoa; Chordata; Mammalia; Diprotodontia; Phascolarctidae.